This 876-nucleotide long non-coding RNA is filed under the name Homo sapiens (human). RNAcentral describes it as "HSALNT0044135". The record is from RNAcentral. Lineage: Eukaryota; Metazoa; Chordata; Mammalia; Primates; Hominidae.
CCUGCUUGUAAAGAAUUUGCUGUUUGGUUCCUUUCAGGCCUGUUUGCGUGUUCCCAACUGCUAUGUGGCCAAGAAUAACAAUCUUUAAUAUUGGUAUCCUUAUUUACAAAGAAAAUGAGUGCAGAAAGGACAAGUAGUUUUCGUGAAACCACUUGGAAGUGGAGGAGAAGGGUUUUGAACUCCCAUCAUCUCAAGCUCAUGCUUUGCCAUCUCACCACAGUGAAAUGAUGGAAAACUCAAGUCUGCAAACCUUAAAUUUUCAAUCAAAGGGAGGAAACCUUGGGCAAAUGAAGAGGUCAUGGAUAUGAUAUGAAAAUAUUUUAUGAUUUUGCAUGUGAGAAGCUACUGCAUAGAUGAAUUCAACUGCAGGAUCCCUUUUAAAAAAUAUGUAUCUUCAAGAUUGAGUGUGAGCCUUCACAAACUCCUCCUUGUAUCUUAAGUCUGCUGGAGUACUGGCCUGACUCCACUCACUCACUGUGUACUUCGUUUGAAACUAACAAACAAUACAGUGACUGUCAGUAGAUGUUGCCUCCUCAGUCUACAGAGCCAACAAAAAUUAUGGAAAAGUACUGAAGAACUAAUACAGUUUAGACACCAGAGGUCUCACAAGUUAAACCCUCUAUAUAAUACAGAGCCCUCCUGAGAAUCAACUUAAGGUGAAAUGUUUUAAAGAAGAGAUAAUGGUGGUGGUGUGGUGGUACAUGUUGAGCAACCAGCUCUCUGGAGCAACUGAAAAAUACUUCUAAUCUGGCAAAUUCAGCGAGAAGACUGAGUUCCUUAAUUUCUGUCAGCACCAGUGAAAAACUGUCCUAAACUGACCCUGGCUUACAGAUGUACCACUGGAUCUUGGACUAAAUGGUAAUGGUAAUCAUUCUG